GAUUUUUCAUGGGACCGUACCGGGCUGUUCAGCAGCGGCAUGUAAGGAAUUUCUGAUGGAAAGCAGAGACAGGCAGUGGCAGGGCAGGCAGCUGCCUGCAGGAGAGAAGUUCCUCCAGGCCAGGGAGGACCCCCAGCUUUGGAGCAGUGGUCUUUUUGUUCCCCUGGGACAACCCCCACUGGUUUCCAUUGGUGUUCAACCCCCAGCCCUGAGAAACGUUUGCCAUAAGAGCUCCAUCAGAGAGAGGCGUGUGAGGACCAUGGCCUUGGAGAACUGCUCCUGCCUCACAUCCGACCUGCUGCAGAAGGCUUGGGUGGAGGAAAUGAAAGAUGAGAAGGAAAUAUUAAACUCAGCCGUGCCGUGGAAGUCAGCGAAAGGCUGCAGCUUGAGGAGAGAAGCUGCAAGAUGCCCCUCCAUUGCAAGCCUCAGGAUUCAAAAAUCGGACCUGCUGGCCCUCACUGGUGUGACUGGAAAAGCGGGCAGGGAAUCCACAUCUCAUCCCCAUGGAAAAUCCCAAUCGAUCUUUUGCCUGCUUUCUGCUUUUUAGCCAGCUUUUCCUGCCAAUAAAGGAAGAAAUAGCCUGGUGGAGAUAAAAAUA
This 598-nucleotide long non-coding RNA is filed under the name Calidris pugnax (ruff). RNAcentral's name for it is "lncRNA (ENSCPUG00000010126.1)". Lineage: Eukaryota; Metazoa; Chordata; Aves; Charadriiformes; Scolopacidae. The record is from RNAcentral.